AAUCAACGCUGGCGGCGUGCCUCAGACAUGCAAGUCGAACGCGAAAGUCCCCUUCGGGGGGCAAGUAGAGUGGCGCACGGGUGAGUAACACGUAGGUAAUCUACCUUUGGAUGGGGAAUAACAACCGGAAACGGUUGCUAAUACCGCAUAAUGCAGCGGCACCUAAUGGUGACAGUUGUUAAAGCGGGGGAUCGAAAGACCUCGCGUCUGAAGAGGAGCCUGCGGCGGAUUAGCUAGUUGGAAGGUAACGGCUUACCAAGGCGACGAUCCGUAGCCGGCCUGAGAGGGCGGUCGGCCACACUGGGACUGAGACACGGCCCAGACUCCUACGGGAGGCAGCAGUGGGGAAUCUUGGACAAUGGGCGCAAGCCUGAUCCAGCCAUGCCGCGUGAGUGAAGAAGGCCUUAGGGUGUAAAGCUCUUUUACCAGGGACGAUAAUGACGGUACCUGGAGAAUAAGCCCGGCAAACUUCGUGCCAGCCGCCGCAGUAAG
This 492-nucleotide ribosomal RNA is filed under the name uncultured bacterium. RNAcentral's name for it is "bacterial SSU rRNA". It matches the Rfam family "Bacterial small subunit ribosomal RNA", at positions 32 to 524 of the family's 1533-position model. The record is from RNAcentral.